This 468-nucleotide ribosomal RNA is filed under the name uncultured bacterium. RNAcentral's name for it is "partial 16S ribosomal RNA". It matches the Rfam family "Bacterial small subunit ribosomal RNA", at positions 28 to 507 of the family's 1533-position model. The record is from RNAcentral.
GACGAACGCUGGCGGCGUGCUUAACACAUGCAAGUCGAACGGAAAGGCCCUGCUUUUUUUGGGUGCUCGAGUGGCGAACCGGUGAGUAACACGUCAGUAGCCUGACCUGCACUUUGGGAUAACUUCAGCACACUGAGGCUAAUACCGUAUAGGAGCUCCUGCUUCAUUGUGGGGGUUGGAAAGUGUCGGCGGUUGGGUAGGUACUCGGGGCUUAUCAGGUCGUUGAUCGGGUAGUGGCUUACCAAGGCUUUGAAGGGUAGCCGGCCUGAGAGGGUGACCGGCACGAUUGGGACUGAGAUACGGGCCAGCAGUCUAGGGGAGGGAGCAGUGGGGAAAAGUGUGCUGCGGGGAGAAGGCGGAUGCAGUGGAGCCGCGCGCGGUAUGACGGCCUUCGGGUUGUAAACCGCUUUCGCCUGUUAUGAAGCGUGAGUGACGGUAAUGGGUAAAGAAGCACCGGCUAACUACGUG